AUAUGCAGAUAUCAUUCAUCGGCGAUGAAUAAGACCCAUGGCCUAGGUUUGUGAUCUCCAUUACUCUUUGGAGGGUUCCUACCUAAGGUCGAUCCAAGUGGCCGAGCCUUUGUCAUAAUCUGUUAUAGAGGGGGCUUGCGUUCGCGCUGCCCCUAC
Non-coding RNA from Solanum lycopersicum (tomato), 156 nucleotides. The record is from RefSeq and is a predicted model, not a curated record. NCBI's taxonomy places the organism in Eukaryota, Viridiplantae, Streptophyta, Magnoliopsida, Solanales, Solanaceae.